CCCUCAUCUCACCCUCUUGCGCCGCCAUCAUCGUUUUUGUUCGCGCCCGAGCGGCUGCCCGCCAUGGCCAUCGUCGUAGCCGCGGCCAGCACGCUCGCUGUCGCCUGAGAAGAGGUGCAGGAGGACGGACGUACUCCUCUACUUCGUCUACACCACCGGAUCGACGCCGUAGAACUCCAACGCCGCUGCCCGCUUCAUCUUCAUCCUCGGACGCCGUCGGACCUCCUCGUCAAAUUCGCCGCCGUCUGCAGCUCCUAACCUUCCACCGGCCUUUCUUGUGCCCCGCGAUGUUGGAGCCCAGGAUCCAGACGCCACCGUCGACGACGACUCCUACUACCCCGGAGGUGCCUACUACUACGUGCAGCCCGCCGACGACGACCAGGAGUAGUUAGGAGGAUCCCAGGCAGGAGGCCUGCGCCUCGUUCGAUCUGUAUCCCAGUUUGUGCUAGUCUUCUUAAGGCAAACUUGUUUAGCAUAUGUCUGUACUCAGAUAUUGUUGCUUCCGCUGACUCGUCUAUGAUCGAGCACUUGUAUUCGAGCCCUCGAGGCCCCUGGCUUGUAUUAUGAUGCUUGUAUGACUUAUUUUAUUUGUAAAGUUGUGUUGUGAUAUCUUCCCGUGAGUCCCUGAUCUUGAUCGUAC
This 640-nucleotide ribosomal RNA is filed under the name Triticum aestivum (bread wheat). RNAcentral's name for it is "partial small subunit ribosomal RNA". Lineage: Eukaryota; Viridiplantae; Streptophyta; Magnoliopsida; Poales; Poaceae. The record is from RNAcentral.